GGUAUCAUUGAUUUGAGAAUUACUUUGAUAUUCUCAUUUUGUGAAUUUACCAGGUAAAUAUAAAUAUAUGCUGUGCUUGGGAUUUCAUUGUACCAAAAUUUACCAGUGGCUUAUGAAAGGAUUUUCACAGAGGAGCAAAGACUCAUUUUACUCACUUUUUCUCACUUUCACUCAUUUAAUCUCUUCUUUUUCUCUUGUGAAUCAAUUGCUUUUUAGUAACCAACAAAAGUAGGAUCAACAUGGGUAUUUAAUGUGAAUAUAAUUCUUACCUAUUUGCUCAUUUGUUUUUAAUUAGUGUUUGCCUUUUAUUUUUCAGUUACUCAAAGCAAGAACAAGCAUACAGGAGUGAUAAUUGGUAAGCACACUCCCCUCCACCAUGCCUAUCUUUUCCAAUCUCUUAAAAGUACCUUUUUUUCUUUUCCAAUUACUGCACAAGUUUGAGUUGUCAUUGCUUGUUACUUAAUAAUAUGUAGGAUUUUUUUCACUGUUGAUUUGAAAUCAAAUUUGAGUAAGGUUUAAAUCCAACUGUGAUGCGACACGACACUCCAAUAACAAGAUGAUUCUGUUUGUGAUAUUAAUGUCUAGCAUGGAGAUUACCUCUAAAAUGAAGAAGAAAAGGAAAGGGGGAAAAAAAAAAACCAGCGAAAAUAAAAACAACUAAGAUCGAUCGAUUGAUCGUCGAUCGAGUAUCGUUAUGAAUGGUGUACUAACUUCUGAAAUCAUAAUAAUCUGCAGGAAGUUCAGUAGGUGCAGCUGCAGGCCUCGUCGGUCUAUGCGGCCUCUGCGUGUUUCUGUACAUCCGAACACGGAGGCGGCGGCAUUCGCCUUCGUCGUCAAAUCUCAUUCGCAAUGCAUCUUCGUCCGUUCCGAACUCCUACUCCAAGUCCAAGGACCCAGAAUUAGGAGGAGGCAGCAGUGUCUUCUACCAGACUCACCUCUUCUCCUACGACGAGCUCGAGGCGGCCACUGAUGGCUUCUCUGACUCCCGAGAGCUCGGCGACGGAGGCUUCGGCACCGUCUACAAAGGUUCAUACUAACAUAUUCAGUUCCUUUUUACUAUAAAUUAUGACUUUGAUCUUGGUUUCAUUCUAUUAGUUUUACUUUAGUAGUUCAGUCCCUAAAAAUUGUUCAGCACUAUAGCUAGACUUUGCAAGAAUUCAAAUUUCAAGAAGGGGCUGGUUGGUAACAAUGAACUGCAAUGACGCGAGUUCGCUCCGCACACGAACUCACGAGAUCAUGAGACGUCUCGUGCACGAAGCCCGGCUCAAACUUGCGGGACUCAUGUUCAGCAAGUGACUUGAGAAAAAAUGAAAUCAAGUUUCAGCGUCUAAAUUGUUACGAUUGAAACUCGAAGAACAAGAUUAACUUGUCGGUUUUACUCUGAAACAAUCUUGUUGAUGAUCAGGAAUUCUGCGAGACGGUCGGGUAGUGGCGAUCAAGCGGUUGUACGAGAACAAUUGGCGGCGUGUGGAGCAGUUCAAGAACGAGGUGGCAAUCCUCUCCCUCAUCCGCCACCCAAACCUCGUGGCACUCUACGGCUGCACAUCUCGCCACAGCCGUGAGCUUCUCCUCGUCUACGAGUACAUCUCCAACGGCACCAUUGCUGACCACCUGCACGGCUCACGUGCUGACGAGCGUGCAUUGACGUGGCCGCGCCGUCUAUCUAUCGCAAUCGAGACCGCCGAUGCCCUUGCAUACCUCCACGCAGUGAAUCCCCCCAUCAUCCACCGCGACGUAAAGACCAACAACAUACUGCUGGAUGCCGACUUUCACGUGAAGGUCGCCGACUUUGGCCUCUCGCGGCUUUUCCCUCUAGACGCCACGCACGUGUCGACGGCGCCGCAGGGCACGCCGGGAUACGUGGACCCGGAGUACCACAAGUGCUUCCAGCUCACCGACAAGAGCGACGUGUACAGUUUCGGCGUGGUUUUAGUCGAGCUCAUAUCGUCGAUGCCGGCCGUGGACAUAACACGGCGGCGCGACGAGAUCAACCUGGCCAACAUGGCGAUACGUAAGAUACAGAACUGCCAGCUCGAGGAGCUGGUGGACGCCGCGCUCGGGUACGAGGAGGAUCUCGCGACGAAGAGGAUGAUCACGAUGGUGGCGGAGCUCGCGUUCCGGUGCCUACAGCCGGACGGCGAGAUGCGGCCGCCGAUAAGGGAGGUGGUUGAGGUGUUGAGGGGGAUACAGAGAGAGGGCUACAACAAGAACAGUGAGGGGGAGGAAGGAGACAUUGUGGUGAAGGAAGAUUCAGGGCUGCUUAAGAAUAUCCCUCCCUUCUCACCUGAUUCUGUUGCUGCUAAGUGGCCGAGUAGGACUACAACACCCAACACUAGCGAGUAAGAGUAAUCAAUCACAUAUUUACUGCCGUUGAAACGGGCGGAAUAGUUGUGCAUUUUGUGAUGUUGUGUAGAUGUUUUCCUGUUCUAAGUUUACUUACUCUUUUGAAUUUGAGGGCAGUGUACAUAUCAGUUAAGAGUGUUUAACAGCAUAUAUGAGAGAUGAUUAACUAGUCCCUGUUCUUCUUUCCCCACUGAACAAAUAGAACAAGACUACAAAAUAUUGCGAGACAGGAACUGCAGCUGGCUGAACAACUCCACCCAAAAGCCGACCGAGCAGCGAGUCAAAAGCAGCUACUAACAUGUUGGCACUGAAGCUUCAUUGAACUGUUUACUAGCACACCAGCACAGCCACCGCCGUCGGAUAAGAAGGUCAUAAAAGAGGAAGAGCGAUGGACACUUAAGAGUGCGCCAACGAAGAAGUGCACCGACAAAGGAAGAAACAAUGGAAGAGACGAUAUAAUAGUAAAUCUAGGAACUAAACUCAGAACCUCUUAAAAUGGAGAGAAUUUAGGACCGACUCUGAUAUAAUGUUACCCAAAAAAUCGAUCUAGUAAAAGAGGGUCUCAAAUUAAUCAUCACAGACCUUAACCAAGGAAGUCCCCACAUUCAUUGAUAAUCUCCAUCAAAAGGCCUAAAUCGACAGACACAAAAACUAAGCUCGAAAGGGACCUAUCGAAAGUGGCGGAAGAGAAUUAGAGGGUGGGAAAAAAAGAGAGUGGUGAGAUUAACAAGGGAAGAAGAACAUUGGAGAAGGGAAAAAGGGAGGACAAGGAGAGAAGCAAAAGAAUAACCAACCAAAACAUUCCUCAUACAUCUUUGUUUCUCCUUUCCUCUUCAAAACCAAAGUACAGUUAGUACCAAACAUCUUAAUAAGUAAACAAAAGUCAAAAUAGCAACUAAAAGCACAAGAAAAGCCUUAUCUCGUAACAACACUAAGGGGCCGUUUGGUUGAAUGUAGUUGCAGAAAUAAUGUAGUUAGAAAUACAUGCAGUUGCAAAUGUUGUAGUUGUAACUACACCUAGUCUGUUUGGUUUUAUACAGUUGCAACUGCUGCAGUUACAUUUUUUCUGUUUGGUAAUAUGUAGCUGAUAGUUGUAUUUGUAAAUUUUGUCACCUCUUCAGAUAAAAUGAUGAGAUUACCUUCGCUAUGCAUAAAAUAAUUGUAUAAUUUUAUUAAUUAUUCAAACUUACUAUUUAUAAAUAAAUAAAUAGAUAUAUAUAUAUAUAUAUAUAUAAUAUUUUUUUAUUUUUCAAUAAUUCUUCAACUUAUUAAUCGACACAUUUAAAAUUUUUAAUUUAUUUAAUUUUAAUAUGUAAAUCAAACUUUAAAAAUUUAAACGAUUCUCUCAUUUUUUUUAUCAAAUUUAAUAAUUAUAAUUAAUUAAAACUUAUUAAGUUAACAUACACAAUCACAUUCUAUAAAAUUUAGAAAAACUAUUUUUAUAUUUUAAAUAAAUAAAUUUUAAAAAAUUUAAUUUUUGCACAAAUUGUAUUGCCUAAAAAAUUUAUUUGUAUGAGUUUAUUUACAAGUAUUUUUACUUCUAUCCCUAUUAUAUUAAAUUCUUAUAUAUUAUUUUAUUUUGUAUUUUGUGAAGGUGAUUAAUCCUCACCAACCAGCCCCCAGCAUUUGGACCUUCUUGUGCAGGUGGAACUGCAGCAGUUGGAUUCAACUGCACUAAACCAAACAUAGGAAUUGAGGUUGCAUGCGUUUGCAACUGCACCGCUGUUGCAAAUGCGUGCAACCAAACAGCCCCUAAGAAGCUCACGGCUCCGCCUUUUGUUGGAACCGGUUAGCUUCAACCUAGCCUUCGCAAAAUACAAUCCUUAAGAUCCAAUAUCAUAUCCAACAAAUCUUUCAGUAAUAUAAAAGCUCAAAUUCGUAAAAGAUUGAAUUCAAAACAAAUCAUCCUUUUCUCUAUAAGAAGCCCCAAGAGACAAAGAACUGUCCAGAAUAUUCGACAAAAACUAACAAGAGUGAUUGUAUAUAUCUACCAAGAAAAACUGACCAUGUCGGUCCGAAGAUGUCCCACCAGAUGUCCAACUGUAAGAAGGGCAAAAGAGCAUAUGCUAUUGAGUUGUAUUGAUGCAAAUAUAUAAUACAAGAGAUAUAUCAAAUAUAGUAACAAAGCCUAGUAUAGUAAGAAUACAAACGAGAUUAGAUACCGUAUAAUCCUACUCUGUAUAUAAUAGUAAUAUACAGUUUUCUAAUAUAGAGAAUAAUGCUAAAUAUGUCGUAAUAUCCCCCCACAAACUAAGUAUCCAUUGGAUGGAUGCGAAGAUCGAGCCGCAGUAUAGAAAAUCGAGAUGGUGAUAAAGGCUUGGUGAAAAUAUCAGCAAGUUGUUUAUCGAAAGAGAUAUGAACCAACUCCAAAUCACCGGUCUGAACAUAUUCGCGCAAGAAUUGACAGUCGAGUUCAAUGUGCUUUGUGUGAGCAUGAAGAAUAGGAUUGGCCGCAAGAUAAUUGAUGCUAAGGUUAUCACAGUAGAUGCUGAUAGGCCGCCAGAGGAAAACACCAAGGUCGCAAAGUAGAAAGCGGAUCCAUAUUGUCUAAGCAAGCGCGUAGGCUACAGCACGAUACUCCACUUCAUAACUAGAGCAAGAAAUGGUAGGCUGCUUCUUAACGAACUAGGAGAUAAAAUUGGGCCCGAAAAAUAUGCAAUAUCCGGAGAUAGACCGUCGGGUAUCUGGACAACCAGCCCAAUCAGCAUCUGCAAAUGUUACAAGAGAAAGAUUAACGGAGCAAGAUAUAGGUAGGCCAUAAGUCAGCAUGCCCCGAAUAUACCGUAGAAUACGCUUAACCGCUUGCAUGUGAGAUUCACGAGGAGCAUGUAGAUACUAGGCAACGGAGUUGACGGCAUACGAUAUAUCCGGUCGGGUGAAGGUAAGAUACUGGAAAGCACCAACAAGCUGACGAUACCUAUAGGGUUCCUCAAGAGGACAUCCCUCAUGAGAAGAGAAACGAGAAAAUAAAAAAUAGUUUCAAUAAAGGUAACAUGCUGAGAAAUAAAAACUUUACCAGUGCUUGAAUGGAGACAGUGAAAACCUUUAUGUUUAUCAGAGAGUCCUAAGAAGAAACAAAGAAGUGAUCGAGUAGAGACCUUGUGAGUUGCAAUGUUCUGUAUAUCGAGAUAACACAAACAUUCAAAAACUCUGACAAAUUGCAAGUCAGAGGAUGAACAACCAUGCAUAGUUUCAUAUGGUAAUCGUCCUCUUAAAACAGUAAGAGAAUGAAUUCGAUUCACGAGAAAUACAGCAGUUUGGAUGGCAUCAACCCAAAAAUGAAGAGGCAUGCAAGCUUGAAACAGCGAACUUCUAACAAUGUUAGUUAAAUGUCUAUAUUUUCUUUCGGCAAGACCAUUUUGUUGUGAAGUAUAAGGACAAGAAAAGCGGUGAAGAAUUCCAUUUUGUGAACAAAGGGUAAAAAACUAAUCAUUUACAAACUUCGUACCACUGUCAGAUUGAAAAAUGUUGAUUGAGCUAUGAAAUCUGUUUUCUACCAUUGCUUUAAAUUCGAGUAAUUUGACGAAAACUUCAUGUUUAAAUUUCAAAAGAUAAAGCCAAAAAAAUCGAGAGUAAUUAUCAAUGAAUAUAACAUAAUAUUUAUAGUCAGAAACUGAUGGAACAGGUGAUUGCCAUACAUCAGAAUGCACAAUAUGAAAGGGAAAAGCAUAUUUGGAUUCAUAAUUAUGAAACGAAAGUUUAACAUGUUUUUCCAUAUUACAAACAUUGCAAAUGGAUAAUGUCUGAGUAGAAUUACCAUCAAAAACAAUGUUAUUAUUUUUAAUAAAUGCAGAAAGAACGGAAAGAUUAGGAUGACCUAACCGUCUCUACCAAACAUCACCACUAAACCUAGAUGCAACAAGACCUAUCUGUUGCUUAUUCCCUACACUUGCAACUUUAGAAGAGAUUGGAGUGAUGUUCCCGACUAGGGCAUCGAAAAAGCUUCGUCCCUAUUUCCUUGUCCUUCACAGAAAAACCUAAAGAGUCAAAUUCAAAAAAAAAUGAUUGUCAUGACAGAACUGACGCAUUGAAAAUAAUUUUCUCUUAAUAAAAUAAACAACAAGAACAUUUUUAAGAACAAAUGAGGUAGAAGAUGUAUUCAAUUGAGUUUCACCUGUCUGAGUAAUAUCAAGUAAAUUUUCAUUAAUAAUUAGAAUUUUCUCAUGUCCAAUAUAAGGUUUGGAAGAUGAGAGAAUGCCAGAAUUCACUAUCAUGUGAUUAGACGCUCUUGUGUCUGGAUACCACACUUCCUCACCAGAUUCAUGAAGAUUCAUAGCAGCAAAAAUCUGAGGGACAUCAUCGGCCACGAAUGAGUGAUUGAAGCAUUGUCUGUGCUGAAGUGUGAGACCCCAGAUAGUCCUAUAUAUGAGAUAUNAACCGGUCGAAACGAGCUAUUGGAUCGCUAUGAACGGAGUCCGAUACGCGGAGAAAGCCAACUCUACUCCGUGGCUUCACCGAAAAACCGGAGUUACUAUUCACUUAAGUGAAAACUAAUAAUCGCGUAACUCCUCCGUUUUAGCUCAUUUUGUCCUGAAACUUGACGAGUACUUAUAUAAUUAAAUUACACACAUAAACAUCAUCAACAGAGAGUUUAGUUGCACUGUCAAAUUUUCAGUCCUUACAUGAAGAGCAGAAUGGUUGUUCUUUCCACAAAUCUGACAUUAUGUGCCAGACUUCGGAAAAUAAGGUUGCUAAUUUGGAGUGUUAAGUUGAGGAGAAUUAUUAGGUGAAGAAUGUGGAUAGGUUCCAAGAGAUCCAUGACCAUGAUAAGAAUUGUGUUUACCGCGUUGUCCUCGACCUCUGCGAUGCCUUCCUCCACGGCCAGCACAAUUACCACGUCCACGAUUUGCAUAAAAGACUUCACCGUCAAUAGUGGGAGUAGCAGAGGACGUCGUUAAGCUAGUAUGACGUUGGACUUUUGCUUCUUCUUGCAGAAAGAGUGGACGUAGUUGUUUAAAGGUAAGCUUACUUCUGUGUGUUAAGGGCACUAAUGAAACCUCUGUAUUCUUCUGGUAGUCCAAACAGAACAGUCAUGACCAAAUUAUGGUCUGACUCAAUUUCACCAAUUGCCUGAAGAGCAUCACCAAUCGACUUGAUCUUCUGCAUGUAAUCACUCAUGCUCAUCGAACCUUUCUUGAUGCUUCGUAAUUCAAACUUUAGAGAGAAAGCCGUGGAAGCAGUUUUAUCAAGAAAAUAAGCUUCAAUGGUUCACCAGGCAUCAUAUGCAGUUUUGGAUGAGCAAAAAAUAACCAUUUGUAAUAUAUUAAAGAUAAGGUAGCAUUGAUCCACGAAAGUAUAAUAGUAUUUUCUUUUUUACAACUUAAAUAUUCAGAAUUUAUAACUAUCUUAUCAGCAGUAUCGAUAGUCUGAGAAAGGACAACACCAGUUUCGUCCACAUGUGAUGUAACACCAAAACUUUUUAGAACAUUAAGAAAAAUGUUUCCACACAAGAUAUGGAGAAUCAAUCAGUUCUAGUGGUAUAAGAGUUUUGAUGUUAACAACUGGCAAAUUUGAGAUAGAAGAAGACAUAUUUGUCACCUUAAGAGAAGGAUCCACCACUAAAUAUGAAAAAAAGAUAAAUCAGAAUGUAACGGAUGAGAAAAAGAAAUAACCUAAUUUCUACGAAACUGGUUGUACCCAGCGCACAAGAAAAGAACCACUUAGCACGAAACAAGAACGAUCGCACCAGGGAAAAGACCGAGCAACACCAAUAAAGCAAGAGAGGAAUCACAAAGAGGCCGAAAUUAGUGUAGCAGAACUACUGUAGCAGUACUAUAGCACCGGUACUGUAGUAUAGGGAUGGUACUGUAGCAACUGUAACACCACUGUAGCAGUACCGUAGCGCCGGACUGUAGACUACCAGGGAGAUUGAAGUCCAAGCAAAAUAGGAGAUAGAACACCAAAAGGAAAAUAACACCUAUGAAAGAAGGUGAAACUUGUGGUGGAUAAUAGUUAUGGAUCGAUAUCCCCAAAUUAGGAUUCCCGCUCUGAUACGAUUAAAGAAAAGCAAAAGAAUAUACCCUAUUGAGUUGUAUUGAUGCAAAUAUAUAAUACAAGAGAUAUAUCAAAUAUAGUAAGAAUACAAACAGAAUUAGAUACCAUAUAAUCCUACUCUGUAUAUAAUAGUAAUAUACAGUUUCCUGAUAUUGAGAAUAAUGCCAAAUAUAUUGUAACAACAACAUUUUGUGAGCAUGAAGUAGAAUAACACUUCCGAAGGAACAUGCUUUACCAAUUACGCUGUUUACUUAUUAAACACAAUACGAAAACUCUUCAGAGAAACAAAUGUUAAAGUGAACCACUUUAUUCUUUGGAACCAGAACAAUCAUACAGUUGAAGUUAACAUAUCUAGAAAUGCACAUACAGAUUAAGCAUCGCCUAACUUAUGCUUAUCUCAAAUUUUUCGAAUGUAAGCAAGUGCUCAACAUUUGAUCGUGAUUAGCAAAACAAUAAAUAGAGAAAAAAAAAAGUUACAACCAGCAGGAUGGAUGACCCAGUGAUGGUACAGAAAAUGUUAUGGAGAAAAAAAAUGUCAUACCAAAGUCAAGACUGUGAUGGCUCCUUUCAUCGGACAAUUAGCUAUACCAGUUUUUGGUCUUCGAACUAACCUUUGCCGCUUCUCCACGACAAUGCUACCAGUACCAAAUUAUGUCUUUUCCCAAUGGAGGAGGAUCUGUAAGGCGUCGAGUACACGAUUAUAGCAUCACUUGAAGUCUAAACAAAGUGAGUAACUUAUUCAAAUAAAUGCUUCAGUUAAGGCCAUGAUUGCUGAUCACCAAACUAAGCAUCGCCUCCUUCUGAACUUAUCGACAUCAUCUGAACUCAUCCUCGACUUCUCGGGAAGAUCUGCAGCCUUGGAUUUCACAACUCGACUGUCUAAACUGUUCCUCGAGGCCUCAGGACGGUGGGCGGCUUCCUGUGUUCGUGGUCUCUCAGAGGGUAUAAUCUCAAUAAUGUCCUUAUUGUUGUUAUGGGCGCCGUCUUUCACCGUUGGUUCUUUCGAGCCAUUCUUUGCAGCUUGCUUAGCAACAGACGAAAUGAAUUUCUUAAGGUGGCGUAUGAAGUCAGGGUACAACUCGAGAUUGCAGUGGCCGCCACCACUAAGCCACAAGGGCGUGUACUUUACUUUGCUAAGCUCCCAUAGCUGCUUUCCAUGUGAGCAGUCAACAACAUCAUCCGAUGUGCCCUGGGAAUAAAAAUAUUCAGUUAAACAAUCUUGUACCAACAAACAACUUACAAAAGACUCGAUUAUAUUUCCAUCAAUUUUCUACUGAUAAUAUUCCUACAGUCCAGCUUCUGAUGCUAAUUUCAUAUUUGAAGAAUUUAUUGCUACAGGACUACAAGCAGACCAACUCAACAAGGAAAACCUGGCAUAUAAACUAUACAAGCAACAGCUCAGAUCAUUCCGAAGUGAAAAAAAACUGACCAACAAAAGGACAUCAGCUGUAUAAUAUGCAAGCCCAAGCAUGAAAUUGGAAUAAUUGAACUCUCUACAAUCUUCACAAACUUUUCCAGAGAAGCAUCCAAUAUGCUAGUAUCACCAAGCAACAAGACAGGUUACACCUAAAAAGUACAGUAGGUCAAACCAGACAAGACUCCUUGGUUUCGAUCAAAAAGUCAUUGAAGAUGAUUUCCAAGCCAACCCCACUCAAAAGUUUGCCUGGGCCUUCCAAAACAGCAUUCUUGUCGUAGAACUAAUCUAUCACACAUGACAUCUGAUUUCACCAAUUAAAAGAAGCCACACUACCAAUUGAGCCUACUUUACAGACUGAUAGAUGUUAGAACCAUGCUGCCACGGUAUUUGAGGAGCAUCAUCACCCUCCUCCCAAACCAAAACCUGCCAAAAAAUCCCUCUUCCUUCUCUUUUCUCUUUCAAUAAUCAAAACCUGCAGAAAACCCCCACAUUUUAGCCCCUGUUCAUCAAUCUUCCACUAGGGUUUCAGUAGAAUCUAUUCUAAAGUAUACAUUAAAAGUCUUAAAUACCUGAAUUGCCCUCCCCUUUCGAAGCUAUCUUUAUGCUAAAGGACUGAUAGGAGUAAUUUUUGUCAUUUUACCCUCUCCUUUAUUGUUGUAGCCCCUUAAAGAGACUUCUCAUAAAGCCACGGGAAAUUUCUAUAGAUUUUGAUUAUCAAGAGCAACUUGUAUACUGCAUUUUUGAGGGGGAAAAAAUUAAAAAAAGAAAACCAAAAGAGGUUAUUAUCUCUUGGAACAUUACCAUAUUAAAACCCUUUAAUUGAGACCUUCCAAAACAAGAUUAUCUCCAUCUAAUUGCUAAAGCUAAGCCCCAUGGCCCCCAUCUAACAUUUUCAAAACCAGUUAACAGUGUUAAUCCAUGCCUGCUGAAUAUUGUGCAAGAAAAAGCUUUGUAACUUAACAUGCCUAAUGCAUGAGGCUCUCGUCACUGGAGUAUCUAGGAGGCAAGAGAUACAUAGCCUUACAUGGAAGCAGAUUUGUACGGCUCAAAGCAAUAACACUAGCCAACACAAGGAAAUCAAUGACCAUCCUACUAAAGUGAGACCUCCAAAAGUGUAGUACUGUAGUACAUGAGGGUGAGAUGUAUGCAUUCCGCCUAAGAAAAUUCUUAACUAUAAUAUAAAGUGAUGCUCUAUACCAAAUAAAUUAGAUGCAAGCAAACAAUUUAGUCUAAGCAUAUUUACAAAGGAAACUUGUUAUCAACCUUUAGCAUCAAGCUAACAAAAUGAGCCCGAUCAAAUUAUACUUUAGGGAAGGGGCAUUUCAAGUUUCUUGCACACAAUUUAAGCCAUAUUAAAAUCCAAGCAUAAUCUGCUUUCACCUUAUUAAAAAGCAAAUACCGUCCCUCGGUAAAUUAGUUACAGAACUAAGUGCCCAUUUUGAUUAGCAAGGAUUCCCUGCAGCCCAGUGCACAAGGAUUUCCUGCACACAGGGCCAUCCCACUGCUGAUGAGUGGAGGGUUCCCUCCACCCCAUGUACGGGAACUUCCUACUCACGGGUUUGCACCCAACAAGCAAGUUGGAGCUUCUACAAAAGUGGUUCUUGAGUAGGGCUUGUUCCUAGGAGGAUAAGGGACGCUCAUAAAUCAGGAUAGGGCAACUCACAUCACCUAAUUAAAAAGUUGGUUAGGCAAAGGAACUGCUUCUACAGAGGUGAUGCAAACUGGCUAUCCAACUCAAGUUAGAGUCAAUCCUGAAUUGGUUAUAUUGAUAUCUUACCUAAUCGAAGCCUAACAAAUCGUAAAAUUUCAUAAAUGAUAUUAUUAUUCAAUUUUGGGAAUUUUCUUUAUUUUAUUUGAUUGAGAUUUUAUUUGGGAUUCAAUUAAGAUUUGUGAUUCUAUUUGGAUUUGAAUUUGGAAUCAAUUAGAACUUAGUUGAUUAGUUUUCUUAAUUUUAUUUAAUUUUAUUUGGGAAGAUUUAAUUUGAUUUAGUUUUCUUUUGGUUUCUUAUUGUUACUACGAAACUUGGGAAUAGAAUUUUUUUAUUAAUAAGACCACAGCUUCAUAUUGUUACUACGAAACUUGGGAAUAGAAUUUUUUUAUUAAUAAGACCACAGCUUCAUAUUGUUACUACGAAACUUGGGAAUAGAAUUUUUUUAUUAAUAAGACCACAGCUUCAUUGUUAUUCAUACCUUGAGAAUUUAGGGGAAAAAAAGAAUGGAGAAUUUCUUCUUCCUUCGUGGAGACGAAGUUUUAGAGAGCAUAAUUGAAGCAAAUCCAUACAGGAGAGUCCGUCAUUCCAAUUUCUUCUUUCUCCAUUGGAUAACUUCCUAAACGGUGAUUUAAUAAUCUAAAUGAAUUCAACUUGAUACGUGGGACCCAAAACUGAACAACAAAACAGAAAACUUGGGAGUCACAUAAGCACUCUCGCUGUGUGGCUCCCUUUUCUUCACAUUGUGCCCAGAGGCGCAAAUCCCACGCAUCUCCUAAUUCUUUGGCAUGUUUUCAUGUGGACCCAUUCCUCCACAUUAUCAAGGAAAAAGAAGUGUAUAUGAUUCGCACCCUCCAUCAACACUGCACAUGCCGGCAUCUAAACCCAAGAGUAAUCUUUUCCUCCUUCAGGCGGCCACACCUUCACCAAGCACUGCAUCUGAGCUUCUACGCCAAAUCGGAGUUUCUCCUUGAAACAAUCCAGGGAUCAUUGCAUCAGCAAUCAACCAUCUGCGCCAGAAACUACAAUCAAACUUUCUAGCUUUGAGCAUAUCUCCGCCGAAACCCUGGAUUCUCCAAUUUGUCUUUCUGCAGUCGAACUUUAAAACAAUAAUCCCUUAUUUCCUCUACAAUUCUUUUUCCUCAUUUGUGAAAACCUAGUUUACUUUAUUUUAUACAUAUUAGAAACUCUAACAUAACCAAUCGUGAAUCAAUAAAUUGAAGGAACUUGGGUAUUUUUCCUUUGUUGCACAUUCAUUCCAAUUAACUUCACUAAAGCUUGACAAGUUAAUAUUUUGCAUCAACAAUUCCUGCAUGAAAUCAAAUUUUGCAAUAUUCCUGAUAAUUUUCAGAAAGUUUCAGUUUUCAAAGAUUAUUCUAUUUCAAAACUUUGGAACAACUCUCAAUUUCAUCGCACGUUCGCAUUGAGUUGCAUUAGAAGAGUUUUCUAGGUUAGGUUUAGUCUUUCAUCACAUGGUUGCAGGUUUAGUCUUUCAUCACACGGUUGCAUGGAAUUCAUUUGUUCUGUAUGACUGUAUCCCAUCAUAGAUCACUCAACAAUUUUGCAUCAAGUCUAACUUAGAAUUGGUUAGGCUUGGCGUGAGAUGGCCACAGAUUAGGACACGACAAGCUCUUUUCACUUAAGCAAAUGUUUGCUACACGCAGGCUUAGGUGAAGUAACAAAUAUCUGGCCGACUAAAUGGUUUUGUUAACAAAAAAUGUUCCUCUUGCCUUUCCUGACUCAACUCAGAUUUCGCUCAGCUCCAAUGUUGCCAAUCUUUAUCUUCAUUCGGAAAAUAAGUUUGAGAGCAACUGCCAAAGGAUGACGAAAUGCAUUAGUCUUUUCAUUGCAUCAAGGCUCCUCUUUUGUCACUUGGCUCUUUCACAGGAAACAACAUCUUAUUGUCUCUAUAAAUCCUAACUCAGAAAAACUAUUCCACAAAACAACAAGUCAUUCUAAACCAUAGCUAACAGCUUGUGCACCUUUCUUAUGGAUAAUCUUUCAAUAAGCCAAUAGCAAACUGAUUUUACUACUUAGAAAAAGUAUUCUGGAUAUAAUUCUACAGUAAUUUAUUUGCAGUUCCCCUAAACAUCUCACAACUUUUCUAAUAUUUACCUUCCUAACCCUUUCCCAUAAAAGUAGAUGGUGGCCCUUUUUCAGUGCAGAGCAUGAAAGAACACCUAAAAGCUGUUAUAAGAUAUGACUUAGUCAGAAGACUUGGAACAAGUUGAAACACACAAGAUUGUAUCCACCAGUCAUUUCUCAAUCUUUAGGUAUGUUUCUAAUAUAUCAUGCCAUAUGGGAGUGGCUUCUAAGGGUAAGUUGUGCAGCAUAAAAUUAAUCAGAAACACAUAAAAGUACUAAAAUUCUUCAUCACUUGUUCCCCUCAAGCUUGGAAUAAUUUCUUCCCAUAAUGUGUUGGAAGCAAACUAUUUUACCUAUCCAAAAAAAAAAAAAAGCUUUUCAAAGUCACAUAACCAAUACCACUUGAAAUUUAACUACAAAACUGCUAGCCAAGAUCAACAAUACUACCUACACAAAGUGAGUAAUGAUCAACUAGUUAUCACUAAAAAACAGAUAGGCCAGAUUACCAGAAAAUCUAAACAAAUUGAUCAAUUAUAAUUAAAAAAACUAAAAAGAAAGGCAGGACAGAACUUACAUGAAUGACAAGGACUGGACAGUUUACCAAGCCAAUUUUGUCAAUAUUCUGCAAAUCAAAAAAUUGUUUGUCAAGAAGAAAGCGCAGGGCACGUGGACAUAAGUACUAUCGAUUUUUACCUUGUAGAUGUCAAACCAAUAUGUGCGUUUGACAGGAUAUAGUACUCGUAAUCCAGAAAGAAUGGGACUAUGUAAAACUACAGCCCUCAAGUUCGGCACUCGUGAGGCAAGAUCAAUCGUCGGACCACUUCCAACAGAUUGGCCAUAUAAGAUUAUGUCCUCAUCAGCUACUCCAUACUGUUCCUUGAGACAAUUAUAUGCUGCUUCAAUGUCUGCAUAUGUAUUAUACUCAGUGGGCUGUACCAUGAAAGAAUAAAUGCCAUAUUAAGUGACUGUCAAUAGUAUGGGGGGCAUAGUAGUAUAUUUUCAAGCUUCAAGCGAAAAAAAAUUGUGAAAGAGUAAUAAUGAAACAAAUUUGGAGCAGACCUUUCCUGUGGAUCUUCCAUAACCAGCAUAGUCAUACCUGCAAUCACAUUAACCAACUCAAGUUAAUUCAAGAAUUAACAAGUAAUAGAAUAAUAAAUAAACAAUACAUAUAUAUUGUUCUUGAGGAAGAAUAGUUAUGCAAGCUCGACAUGAAACACAGUAAGUAAUAAUACAAAAAGGCUCUCUUCUCUUUUAUAAGCUAGCACUGGUAAUUAUGACACCAUUUUUUACAGGGUUCCAAAUCAUAAAACUUAACAGAAUAAGUAAAACCGGAAAAAUCAAAAAGAUUUCGAUGUCUAACUGAUGCAGAAGUGGACCAUGACAACAAAGGUGGCCAGAUAGAUCACAUAACGGAUUAGCUUCAAAUCAGUUGGAUAUUUUUGACCACUGAUUAUUGUGAACUUACUAGCUAGCUGCAAGCAGGUAAAGUAAAAGCAAGAAAAAAUAAGACGUGAAAUACAUUCAACAAGAUAAAUUGUUGCCAUAUAAAUUUGAGCCUGUGCAGUUUGACUCCAAGUUGAGUUCAAUCAAAUCAGUUUUAAUUUUUACUUAUUUUUGGGCGGUCUUUAGCUUACUGAUGUUUAUAUUAGAAAUUUUAGGCUAAGAAAUUGAUAACUCCCUACAAGUUAGUUAUAUUUCUAGAUUUGUUUAUUUCAGUCCCAACUCCCAAGUAGGGUUAGGUUUUCAUUUUUAACCAUAAAUAGGACCCAAUCAAGGGUUUUGAAGGGCGCUGAUUUGAGCUAUAUGAAAUAUAGCAUUAGGUCUUAUUAUUUUCUCUACUCUGUGACCUCGAUUGGCGAUCUUCUUCCUCACUUAUGCCUCAAUUGAGCACUUCGUCUCAAUUUUUCCUCUUCUUUUUCACCCUCUCUUCUUUCCAUUUCCCUUUUCUCUUUACCCUCCUCUACAGCCAAGGUUUAAAGUGCCGUGGCACUGGGGCGUGCCGUGGCAUGGGGGCGUGCCGUUAUGUCCUUGGCACGGUACGGCACAGACACACUUGCGUGCCGACACAUGGCACGCUUGCAUGCCGAUAGAUACGCAUGACCUUCUACUGGCACGUUUUGGCAUGGACUUAUUUCAAUUUGUUUGAUUCUAAUAAACUCUUAUAAUAUUAUUUUGAAAGAUUUAAAUAAAAUAAUUAUGAAUAUUUACUAUGUAUACCUUACUAUACUCAUCAAUUAACAUGCAUGAAAACUUUUUGUAAGUAAAGUACAGCUAUACCUGAUGUAGAAUAGAAAUUAAAAUAUAAUAAUAAAAUUCACAAGUACAAUAAUUAUUUAAAUUUACAUCUUUACAUAGAAAUGACUGCUUAAUUCCACAUAGAUCGUCACGCUUGAUCAUAUGGCAUAUUGUUAUCUGCAGAUACAAGAUUUAUUUGACAAUGUUGAUAUAAGUAUUGCUGGUAUUGUGAGAAAUUCAUAUAUUCCCAAUAUUACAUCUAUAUUUUUUGUUCUUUUAUUCUUUUUAAAAAUAUCUGAUCAAAAUUUGUUUAGGAGAUCAAUUUUUGUUUCUGUGAUUCACCGAAAACUUCGCGGUGCGACAAAUUUUGACAAAAUAUUUUGUGAAGAAAAAAUAGAUGUCAGUAGUGGGCUACGGGCUCGGGCCGAAUAUGUCAAUUAAAAAUUUGGUCCUAUAUUGAUAAAUAAGAAGUUAAAAAUAUCCGCCAAAAAGCAAAAAAAAAAUGUUGAAAAAAAGACAACAAAGUGAAAAGAAAAAAGACAAUAUAGGUGGACUGAGGGGGGGGCUCGAAACCCUAGAGGACAAAAGAAAAAGAAAAAGCCAAAAAGGAAAAAAAAAAUUGGCAGCACGCACGAUACGUGCCGCCGGCACGCACCUGCUUGCCGCUUUGUCUCAAGCGGCACGCAUGUGCGUGCCGCGAGACAGAGGGGGUCCGAGACCCCCCCGUACCGUGCCCCCUUGACCCCUUCUUGGGGGCAGGGUACGGCACGCCCCCGUGCCAUACGGCACGGGCGGCGCUUCAAUCCUUGCCUGCGGCUACUACAAUUCUGCGUUGCUACAAUAAUAUUUCCGCUAUAGUGCUUCUGCUAUAGUAGCAUGCUAUAAUACUACUAUUUGUUGUGCGUUGAUUACUGAUUUCUAUUUUCUACUGCUGUCGAGGCCCCUGUUUCGCUAAUCAGAAUGUCUCAAAGGACUUUUUUGCUGUCCCAUGCGUUGUCUACUAUAUGAUCUGCCGUCAAGAAUUCUCAGAGCUUUGACUAUUAUUGUUUCAAACCAGUUAUCUAGAUCGGAAUUUAGGUUUAGUUUCUUGAUGUGGUCUGUAAGUUUUUGUACUUGGGAUUUGGGACUUCUAUCACAUUUCUAACAACAUGUACAUCAUCCUAAGGAGCGAAACAGCAUGCUUUCUCGUUACAAUUAUCUCGAUCAUGAGGUUGUCAUUGAUUUUGUUGAAUCCUUAUCUGUAAAAACAUACUGACCUGAUAUUUAGUUGAUAAUUCUGUUUUUCAAAAGCAUAUGUCUGACAGCUUUACAUCUUCAGACUAUGGUUCAAAGGCAUCAGGAGUGAACAGUAAAUGAAGAUGAACGGCAAGGAGUCAAAGGACAUAAAAACUUGGGAUCAAAGCAAUGUACCUAUGACAGGAUUUGGAUGCAUAUACAAGUGGGAGAGCACCAUAGUAUUUUCCAACAUUAAAUGAAAGAAUAAAAAAACACCUUCUUCUUAAUCUCUCGGCCUUGUAAAAGAAAAGAAACAAUAGAAAAGCCCACAUUAAGCUUCUCGCAUUUUUAGAACGUUAGACCUAAAAUACACGAUUACACGAUUAGCGAUCCUCAUCUUUCACUUUAUCAGUCAUGUGAGAGAACAACAAAGGAGAGCAUUAAGCCAAUACUCCGGCCCAUCCCAAGGGCCCGCGGUCUCUUAAGAUGAAAAAAAGCAGCAUCAUUGACUCCAGAGUUAGAGCAGCAAGAGAAUGACCAUUGGAAGCAGCUAUGGUACACGCAUUCUCAGUAGUAUUCGCAGUAAUAGUCUGCAUAGCAUUUCAUACUGCAGAAGCACUGAAAAGAGAAGUGUGGAUCUCGGUCCUGAAGGAGAGGCAUCGAUUCGCACCCUACAAAUACGGUUUACCUCUGAGCCACUCGUGAGCCACUCUUGAGUCAUUCUAAGUCACUCUAGCAAGCAAAAGGAGCCAGCAGAAAAGAACCGGUAUGUGAAUACAGUGAAUUCUGAUGCCAAUUUGGUUGGUUUUUCUACAAUAGAUCAUUCUCGCAUCUAACAAUAUGCACUGAAGAAUCCCUUAAGCAAAAUACAUUCCAUUAUAUAACAAACUUUCCUAGCGUAAGAGACUCCAUGCUUAUCCACCAUUAAAAUUUUCAUUUACAGUUCAGUGUAGACCAAAUUAGGCAACUAAAUCAAUGAUCUACCGUAAUGUAACCACAAUCAUAAAACUUAAUCAAAGUUUCCCCCAAAUAAAACGAACUAAAAAUUUACCAAAACGGAAAAGGCAAAUUUAUAAAGAGGAUCAUGAUCCGGCCACUAAAAUAGGAAAAAAAAAAAAAAAAAAANAGAAAAGAAAAAAAAAAAAAAAAUCUACCCCAUGAGAUUGACGCGGAGGCGGUGGCUGAGCUCGACGAAGAGCCCGAACAUCUGGCCGAGGUCGGCGGCGUUCCCGUGCGAGUAGAGCAGCGUCGCCGUGGCCCUAGGGUUCCGCACGUACACCGCGACGAUCUCGUGCCCCCGCCGCGUCCGCAGCCUCAGCACCUCCGCCUCCUCCGCUUCGACCACCGCCUCCGCCUCCGCCUCCGCCGCCGCCCUCCGCCGCCGGCCCCGCCGCGCCGCCGCCGCCGCCGCCGCGGCGGAGGAAGGAGCGGAGAGCUCGGGGAUGAGGAGUUUUCCGGUGGCGUCGUCGGCGAGGAGGCGGUAGGAGGGCGGGGCGGGGGGGAAGAAGGCGAAGCGCGCGGCGAUCGAGGAGGUCACGCCGCCCAUCGCCGCCGCGAUCGCGAUCGCGAUCGACUCCAACGCCCAAAGCUACUGCAACAGCUACAACCACCACUACAAUUCAUGAGUAGGAGGAAGGAGGAGCGCGAGUACUCCCACCCUCGCCCUUUGGCUUUGGAAUUGGAUCGAUCGAUCCCCGGCCCUUUCUUUCUUUCUUUUAUCGUCGGAUCUAAAAGCUUCCUUUCUCGGAAAAAGGAUGAGAGAGAGAGAGAGAGAGAGAGAGAGAGAAAAGUUUAGGAGAGCUCGAGGUAGGACAAGGACGGAGAGAGAGAGAGCAUUGAAAAAAAAUGCCAACAAACAACGUAUUCGGCUGUACUACUUUCGAGAAAGAAAUUUUUUUUUGUACACUGAUCAAAAGAUGAAUGUACAUACAGAUACAGAUCGUUUAGUUAGAUAUAAUAAAAAAUAUAUACAUAGAGAUACAUAAAUUGAGUGAUUGUGCAGUUAUAAUUAUAUAUAUUUUUUAUUUAAUUAGAUGCAGUAAAAAAUACUAUAAUUAUAAAUUAUUUAUUUAAUUAGAUACAGUAAAAUGUACUAUAAUUAUAAAUUAUAUAUUUAGUUGCAUAUAAUUAAGAAGUGCAUUUUAAAGAUUUUAUCACUUUAUAUUUGUUUGGUUUAGAGGUCUGUCGCAUAAUUGAAUAUUUUUCACGAAACAAAAUUUGCUACUCUCAAUAUUUGACAGUGCAAAAGAUCAUAAAAUGGAUCUUCUACGAUUGAAUGUGAUAAUGUUUAAGAAGAAAAAUAUAACGAGAGCCAAAACGAUAAAAUAGAGUUUUUAUUCAACAUUUCAUAUGUUAAAUUGUGUGAUUUCAAUGACAGAAAGACCUAUGAACAAAUACAUUUGUGAGUAAGUUUUGAGUAAGAAACUAUGAACUAGAGGGACUAAAAUGUAAUUAUUUCAAAAUGAGACAAAAUGGCAACUUGCGAAUAACUUAUCAUUUUAUGUAAAAAAUUUUACACCCUGUUUGGAUUGGGUACAAGAUGGAGUAUAAGGGCCUUAUACCCUAUCUUGUACCCAAACACGUUUUGGGCUAGGUAGGAACUAUAGUUCCCACCUUUUGUACCGAGGGCAUGUCCGAAAAGCCCCCGCGCCCUCUCGUCUCUUUUCUCUUCGCCUUCUUCUCCAUCUAAGGAAACCACCAUUUUCUCCGGUUGGUCUACUUAUUCUCUUCACCUUCUUCAUUCCUCCUCGUGGCUUGCACAAUCUGAGGAGGUUGGUUCAUCGAGCCGAACCCUAGAUCUGAGGGUCUCUCGUCGCCGCCGCCUCAUCCCGAACCACAGAUCUGAGGUAAAAUUGCCGCAUCUUCGUCUUCUUCUCCGCACCUCCUCCCAAAAUUCCUUCUCGUAGCUUCGGUCGCCGCCGCCUUUGGGGCAAAACUGCUGCCUCGGGGGAGAAAUCCGUGCCGCCUAUGCCCGAUCCCUAGCUCUGAGUUGCGGGUGAUCUUCUUCUCUGUGCUUGAUCUUCUGCCAUGUUCUUCUUUGUGCUUCCUUCAACCCAAAGUAAACAGUGUAAUGUUGCAGUGAAUGAUCUUCGGCUCUGUGAUUUAUCGACUUCUCUGUGCUUCUCUGUGCUUGAUUGUGCUUCAAUGUGCUUCCUUGUGCUUCUUGUUGGUUCCUAUGUUCUGUGCUUCCUUAUAGUCGAAAAACUAGCUCAUUAUCCAUGUAUUUUCCAUUCCGUCACCAACAAAGAAAAUUAUCAAAACAUCAAAUUUUUCCCAGUCGAAUGCCAUUUAUAUUUCACGCAAUCUACAUCUGAAUCUGCUUCAUCCACAUCUUACCAUCACCAAAUACAUUUCCAAUUACAUCCUCCAUUGACACACAUGAGCAAAAAGAUCCUCGAACCACACAUUUACAGGAUCUGUAAGGAAGUGAAUUCUCGAAAUACGAAGAUUGUACUUCAUCCAGGACCGACUAAUUGUCGAAAGUAUACCCUUUGU
Molecule: long non-coding RNA, 20492 nt
Filed under: Ananas comosus (pineapple)
Lineage: Eukaryota; Viridiplantae; Streptophyta; Magnoliopsida; Poales; Bromeliaceae
Description: long non-coding RNA (ACOM_LNC024098)
Source: RNAcentral